Molecule: transfer RNA, 74 nt
Filed under: Trichosporon asahii var. asahii CBS 8904
Lineage: Eukaryota; Fungi; Basidiomycota; Tremellomycetes; Trichosporonales; Trichosporonaceae
Description: tRNA-Val (CAC) (tRNA-Val-CAC-1-1)
Rfam family: tRNA
About the family: Transfer RNA (tRNA) molecules are approximately 80 nucleotides in length. Their secondary structure includes four short double-helical elements and three loops (D, anti-codon, and T loops).
Source: RNAcentral
AUCUCGUUAGCUCAGUUGGUUAGAGCGUUCGCUUCACACGCGAGAGGUCGGCGGUUCGAACCCGCCACGGGAUA